Molecule: non-coding RNA, 106 nt
Filed under: Ramlibacter sp. Leaf400
Lineage: Bacteria; Pseudomonadati; Pseudomonadota; Betaproteobacteria; Burkholderiales; Comamonadaceae
Also listed under: 1 other name
Description: Glycine riboswitch aptamer
Rfam family: Glycine riboswitch aptamer
About the family: This family represents the bacterial glycine riboswitch. Glycine riboswitches usually consist of two metabolite-binding aptamers domains with similar structures in tandem. The aptamers cooperatively bind glycine to regulate the expression of downstream genes.
Source: Rfam by way of RNAcentral
CGUUGCCUUGCUGGAGAGAGGCGUCGGCCCCCGGGCCACGCCCACCGAAGGAGCAAACCCCGCGCGCGGGGUGAAUCUCUCAGGUAAAGCGGACAGCAGGGGCGCC